CAAAAAAAAAGACAUAAAAUAAAGCAUAUGUAUAUUACUCGUGCUUUCUAAGUUAUCCCUGUGCCUACAGCCUUCCUACUAAGGGUUGCAUUUGGCACAACUUAACUUCAACCACUCAAACCUAAACAUAACCUCAAUUACUCUUUAAAAAUAUCCUAAAGUGGGGCUGGGGAUAUGGCCUAGUGGCAAGAGAGCUUGCCUCGUAUA
Long non-coding RNA from Perognathus longimembris pacificus (Pacific pocket mouse), 207 nucleotides. RefSeq lists it as uncharacterized. The record is from RefSeq and is a predicted model, not a curated record. The transcript has 3 exons. Lineage: Eukaryota; Metazoa; Chordata; Mammalia; Rodentia; Heteromyidae.